GAUGAACGCUGGCGGCGUGCCUAAUACAUGCAAGUCGAGCGAACGGACGAGAAGCUUGCUUCUCUGAUGUUAGCGGCGGACGGGUGAGUAACACGUGGAUAACCUACCUAUAAGACUGGGAUAACUUCGGGAAACCGGAGCUAAUACCGGAUAAUAUUUUGAACCGCAUGGUUCAAAAGUGAAAGACGGUCUUGCUGUCACUUAUAGAUGGAUCCGCGCUGCAUUAGCUAGUUGGUAGGGUAACGGCUUACCAAGGCAACGAUGCAUAGCCGACCUGAGAGGGUGAUCGGCCACACUGGAACUGAGACAUGGUCCAGACUCCUACGGGAGGCAGCAGUAGGGAAUCUUCCGCAAUGGGCGAAAGCCUGACGGAGCAACGCCGCGUGAGUGAUGAAGGUCUUCGGAUCGUAAAACUCUGUUAUUAGGGAAGAACAUAUGUGUAAGUAACUGUGCACAUCUUGACGGUACCUAAUCAGAAAGCCACGGCUAACUACGUG
RNAcentral lists this ribosomal RNA (497 nucleotides) under uncultured bacterium. Its description in RNAcentral is "partial 16S ribosomal RNA". It matches the Rfam family "Bacterial small subunit ribosomal RNA", at positions 28 to 507 of the family's 1533-position model. The record is from RNAcentral.